This 253-nucleotide ribosomal RNA is filed under the name uncultured bacterium. Its description in RNAcentral is "partial 16S ribosomal RNA". It matches the Rfam family "Bacterial small subunit ribosomal RNA", at positions 524 to 776 of the family's 1533-position model. The record is from RNAcentral.
UACGUAGGUGGCAAGCGUUGUCCGGAUUUCUUGGGUUUAAAAGGUGCGUAGGUGGUCCUAUAAGUCAGUGCUGAAAUAUCCCGGCUUAACCGGGAGGGUGGCAUUGAUACUGCAGGACUUGAGUAAAGUUGAGGUAGGCGGAAUUGACGGUGUAGCGGUGAAAUGCUUAGAUAUCGUCAAGAACACCUAUUGCGAAGGCAGCUUACUAAGCUUUAACUGACACUGAGGCACGAAAGUGUGGGGAUCAAACAGG